This 680-nucleotide ribosomal RNA is filed under the name uncultured Actinomycetes bacterium. RNAcentral describes it as "bacterial SSU rRNA". It matches the Rfam family "Bacterial small subunit ribosomal RNA", at positions 237 to 927 of the family's 1533-position model. Lineage: Bacteria; Bacillati; Actinomycetota; Actinomycetes. The record is from RNAcentral.
CCUAUCAGCUUGUUGGUGAGGUAAUGGCUCACCAAGGCGUCGACGGGUAGCCGGCCUGAGAGGGUGACCGGCCACACUGGGACUGAGACACGGCCCAGACUCCUACGGGAGGCAGCAGUGGGGAAUAUUGCACAAUGGGUGAAAGCCUGAUGCAGCAACGCCGCGUGAGGGACGACGGCCUUCGGGUUGUAAACCUCUUUUAGCAAGGAAGAAGCGAAAGUGACGGUACUUGCAGAAAAAGCGCCGGCUAACUACGUGCCAGCAGCCGCGGUAAUACGUAGGGCGCAAGCGUUAUCCGGAAUUAUUGGGCGUAAAGAGCUCGUAGGCGGUUUGUCGCGUCUGCUGUGAAAACCCGAGGCUCAACCUCGGGCCUGCAGUGGGUACGGGCAGACUAGAGUGCGGUAGGGGAGAUUGGAACUCCUGGUGUAGCGGUGGAAUGCGCAGAUAUCAGGAAGAACACCGAUGGCGAAGGCAGAUCUCUGGGCCGUAACUGACGCUGAGGAGCGAAAGGGUGGAGAGCAGACAGGCUUAGAUACCCUGGUAGUCCACCCCGUAAACGUUGGGAACUAGUUGUGGGGUCCAUUCCACGGAUUCCGUGACGCAGCUAACGCAUUAAGUUCCCCGCCUGGGGAGUACGGCCGCAAGGCUAAAACUCAAAGGAAUUGACGGGGACCCGCACA